Small nucleolar RNA from Chionomys nivalis (European snow vole), 65 nucleotides. RefSeq annotates it as small nucleolar RNA SNORD109A. The record is from RefSeq and is a predicted model, not a curated record. The transcript has a single exon. NCBI's taxonomy places the organism in Eukaryota, Metazoa, Chordata, Mammalia, Rodentia, Cricetidae.
GGAUUGAUGAUGACAACAUUUUUCUGAGGACGCUGAUUGACUCAAAGAGAAAGCCUCUGAGGUCC